CUAUGUCAUUUAAUACCAUAUUUUCCUAAGUCAUUUAAAUUAUGUUCAUGUUUUCCUAGGUCAUCUAAUUAUGAUCCUUUGACAGAAUCUAGGUGUUUUAGUUUAUAAAUAUUUCAUUUGUAAUGUAACACACUUCGAUUAUUGAAUGAAUUUCAUUGCCUUUGGUAGAACUUUGACAAGUGAAAAUUCUUAUUCUUCUUGUUGCAUCAAGAAUUGAAUUAACUUAUCAAGUUAUCUU
RNAcentral lists this long non-coding RNA (238 nucleotides) under Carica papaya (papaya). Its description in RNAcentral is "long non-coding RNA (CPAP_LNC006249)". Lineage: Eukaryota; Viridiplantae; Streptophyta; Magnoliopsida; Brassicales; Caricaceae. The record is from RNAcentral.